Molecule: small nuclear RNA, 19 nt
Filed under: Arabidopsis thaliana (thale cress)
Lineage: Eukaryota; Viridiplantae; Streptophyta; Magnoliopsida; Brassicales; Brassicaceae
Description: snRNA_06927
Source: RNAcentral
AAAGGAUUGGCUCUGAGGG